GUGGGGAAUUUUGGACAAUGGGCGCAAGCCUGAUCCAGCCAUUCCGCGUGCAGGAUGAAGGCCUUCGGGUUGUAAACUGCUUUUGUACGGAACGAAACGGUCCGGGUUAAUACCCUGGGCUAAUGACGGUACCGUAAGAAUAAGCACCGGCUAACUACGUGCCAGCAGCCGCGGUAAUACGUAGGGUGCAAGCGUUAAUCGGAAUUACUGGGCGUAAAGCGUGCGCAGGCGGUUUUGUAAGACAGGCGUGAAAUCCCCGGGCUCAACCUGGGAAUUGCGCUUGUGACUGCAAGGCUGGAGUGCGGCAGAGGGGGAUGGAAUUCCGCGUGUAGCAGUGAAAUGCGUAGAUAUGCGGAGGAACACCGAUGGCGAAGGCAGUCCCCUGGGCCUGUACUGACGCUCAUGCACGAAAGCGUGGGGAGCAAACAGGAUUAGAAACCCGGGUAGUCC
This 450-nucleotide ribosomal RNA is filed under the name uncultured bacterium. RNAcentral describes it as "partial 16S ribosomal RNA". It matches the Rfam family "Bacterial small subunit ribosomal RNA", at positions 354 to 796 of the family's 1533-position model. The record is from RNAcentral.